GUUGUCUUGGAGCAUUCGGUGAUGGCGCAUAUCUCCGGUGCCAUUGCUGCCUCCGGGGUAACUCUGGUUCUUCUUGAAACAGGUCGUCGUCUGCCGUUGCCCUUGCUGCCCCUUGGAAUCUAUCCCACCCUUUUCUCCCUAGGGUUGGGAUUUCAGAGGUGGAGUGGAAUGAGGCGGGGGGCGAGAGCUGAGAGGCUUGUCACACGCAUCGAAAAAUACGACAGGGAAGGA
RNAcentral lists this long non-coding RNA (231 nucleotides) under Elaeis guineensis (African oil palm). RNAcentral's name for it is "long non-coding RNA (EGUI_LNC075819)". The record is from RNAcentral. Lineage: Eukaryota; Viridiplantae; Streptophyta; Magnoliopsida; Arecales; Arecaceae.